GACUGAUCUUUCAAGGCACACAGAAUAGUGUUCUACGUGUUUGUGUUCUAAUAUAUUUCUGCUUUUUUCCGUUCUUUAGUGAUCAGCAGCAGAACAUACUGUAGAAAGCAUACUAAGAGGCGUGGCAGGGGGCGUCCAAAGUGCGGCCCACAAUGGGCUGUGAAUGCUGAACGGAGAAUGUGCGGAGGUCCACUGUGUAGCAUGUGAGCACGCAUAACUCCUCAUUUGCAAUGGGACCCCGUUUACGCUGUGUUAACUCCGGCGUGGAAUGCACAGACACACACGUAAGAUUACCAGCCUCACGCCCGGACUUGUAAGAGCCCACCACCGCCGUCGCCGCCUCCGCACCCCACUUUUGUGUGCUCUCUUCUGCCACACAAACAUGCCACCCCCCCCCCCCGAAACAUUUCUCAGUAACAGAUGUCUGCAUUUAAGAAGAUAAACACAUUGCCUCAAUGCACUUAUGUCAAAUGCUCCUUCAUUUACACCUCAUAGCCCCCGUCAGGUUCCCGGUUUGACUCCAAUCCACACCCUACGUACAACCUCCAUAAAUCCAAUCUCCAUUCAUCAUUACAGUCGCUGCAGUGACAUCUGACCUUUUAUGUUGUCGCCCUGGCGUUUAAACACACAUAUGCUAAUGUGUACGUGUGCCUUCGACCGCGUUCAUCAGCUACUCGCUGACAUGAAGAUGAAGAUCCACGUGUGUCAUCACAGAUUGGAACGGUUUAGUCAUUCAUCUUCUUGCUUAAAACGAUGCAAUCCUGGCCGGUUACGUCGACAACCGUUUAUGUUGACAUCAGUCAGCGAGGGCGAGGGGCGUCAACGUAAAACAGGUUCCACGGUUGACAUGUGUGACUCAUGAAGGAGUUGUUUUUUUUUACAGAAUCGGGUGCUGAUCUCUGUUAACAUCGUUCACUAACUCACCCCAGCUACCGCUAGCGGAAUUAAAGAAGAAACCCGUUAGCAUGUCACUAAUUAUGCAACUGUUACUCUAACUGCGUUUGUAUAAAAUGUGUUAGCCCCGUUCCUUGCCUCGAAUCGACUCUCCUUUCCCCCUCCUGCCCGAGCUGCAUCACAGACUCCACAAAACCAACGAUUCACUCGCUCAGGCUUUCACUAACUCACGGGUGCGCAACAAAAACUGGAGUUUCACUAACUGGCAGGUGCUUGACUCGAGUUUCACUGACUCAGGAAUACUCAAUAAAGACUCAAGUUUCACUGACUCACGGGUGCUUGGCAAAGACUGGAGUUUUACUGACUCACGGGUGCUCGCCGCAGACUGGCGCUUCACUGACUCAUGGGUGCUUGACAAAAACGCAAGAUUCACUAACCCUCGCGUACUCGACAAAGACCGAAGUUUCACUGACUCACUGCUCGACGAAGACUGGAGUUUCACUGACUCAUGGGUGCUCAGAGAAGGCUCAAGAUACUCUAACUCAGGGGUACUCGGCAGACACUGGAGUUUCACUGACUCACAGGUGCUCAAAGAAGACUGGAUUUUUACUGACUCACGGGUGCUUGACAAAGACAUGACUUUCACUGACUCACGGGUGCUUGGCAAAGACUGAAGUUUCACUGACUCACGGCUGCUCGACAAAGACUGUGGUUUCAUUGACUCACUGGUUCUCAAUUUACACAGACUCAAGGGUGCUCGAUAAAGAAUGAAGUUUCACUGACUCACCGGUACUCAACUUACACCGACUCACAAGGGCUUGACAAAUACUGGAGUUUCACUGAUUCAGGGGUACUUGACGAAGACUUGAGUUUCAUUGACUCGCGGGUGCUCGAAGAAGGCUCGAGAUUGACUAAUUCUGGGGUACUCGGCAAAGACUCGAGUUUCACUGACUCAUGUGUGCUCGACAAAAAAGAGUUUCACCGACUCAGAAGUGCUUGACAAAUACUGGAGUUUCACUGACUUGCGGGUGCUUGACAAAGGCUCGAGAAUGACCAGCUCUGGGGUACUCUGCAAAGACUGGAGUUUCAUAGACCCACAGGUGCUCGACGAAGACUGAAGUUUCACUGACUCACGGGUGCUUGACAAAGACUGGAGUUUCACUCGCUCACGGGUA
This is a long non-coding RNA of Dunckerocampus dactyliophorus (ringed pipefish), 2069 nucleotides long. RefSeq lists it as uncharacterized. The record is from RefSeq and is a predicted model, not a curated record. Lineage: Eukaryota; Metazoa; Chordata; Actinopteri; Syngnathiformes; Syngnathidae. The transcript is spliced from 3 exons.